Molecule: ribosomal RNA, 851 nt
Filed under: uncultured Acidobacteriota bacterium
Lineage: Bacteria; Pseudomonadati; Acidobacteriota
Description: bacterial SSU rRNA
Rfam family: Bacterial small subunit ribosomal RNA
Source: RNAcentral
UUGCCCCGCAAGGGGUAACUGAGUGGCGAACGGGUGAGUAACACGUGGGUGACCUACCCUCGAGUGGGGGAUAACAUCCCGAAAGGGGUGCUAAUACCGCAUGACAUCCUGUCUUUGAACAGAUGGACAUUAAAGCCGGGGAUCGUAAGACCUGGCGCUCGUGGAGGGGCCCGCGCCCGAUUAGCUAGUUGGUGAGGUAACGGCUCACCAAGGCUUCGAUCGGUAUCCGGCCUGAGAGGGCGGACGGACACACUGGGACUGAGACACGGCCCAGACUCCUACGGGAGGCAGCAGUGGGGAAUUGUUCGCAAUGGGCGAAAGCCUGACGACGCAACGCCGCGUGGAGGACGAAGAUCUUCGGGUCGUAAACUCCUUUUGAUCGGGACGAAUGAUCGGCGACCUAAUACGUCGUCGGAAUGACGGUACCGAGAGAAGAAGCCCCGGCUAACUCCGUGCCAGCAGCCGCGGUAAUACGGGGGGGGCAAGCGUUGUUCGGAAUUACUGGGCGUAAAGGGCGCGUAGGCGGCCAUCUAAGUCAGACGUGAAAUCCCUCGGCUCAACCGAGGAACUGCGUCUGAUACUGGAAGGCUUGAAUCCGGGAGAGGGAUGUGGAAUUCCAGGUGUAGCGGUGAAAUGCGUAGAUAUCUGGAGGAACACCGGUGGCGAAGGCGGCAUCCUGGACCGGUAUUGACGCUGAGGCGCGAAAGCUAGGGGAGCAAACGGGAUUAGAUACCCCGGUAGUCCUAGCCCUAAACGAUGAGUGCUUGGUGUGGCGGGUAUCGAUCCCUGCCGUGCCGAAGCUAACGCAUUAAGCACUCCGCCUGGGGAGUACGGUCGCAAGGCUGAAACUC